Long non-coding RNA from Vigna umbellata (rice bean), 858 nucleotides. RefSeq lists it as uncharacterized. The record is from RefSeq and is a predicted model, not a curated record. NCBI's taxonomy places the organism in Eukaryota, Viridiplantae, Streptophyta, Magnoliopsida, Fabales, Fabaceae.
AUAGUCACUUCCCCGUUCUCCUUUGAUUCGCUCAUUUGACUUUAUCUUUGUUCUUUCGACUUUCUUUCGAAUUCAUUCAUCUAAACGAGCGGUUUUCAUCCCUGUGCGUGUACUUCCUGCGACAUUUCUUAAGCACUUGCUGUAGUGCUCCGUUAGUCCACUGGGUUCAGGCAUUUGUAAGUGAGUAUGUCGUUUGGCAAUCGGACGCUGGUUGAUAAAGAUAUAGACAGUACUACAACUAGAUGUAGAUCGUGGUUUCAUCUUUUGAUAUGGUUGCUGGUUGUGGAGCAACUGAACCAUACACUACACUGACCUUGAGUACAAUAUCACGUCACUUUCGGUGUUUACGUGAUACCAUUAGUGGUCAAAUUCAAGUGACUCAAAGGAGCCCUGGAGAACAAGAGCUAAUACCUCGUCUACGCUAUGUUGAUCAGCAGCUUCGACAACAAAAGGCACUUCAGCAACUUGGUGUAAUGCGACGAGCUUGGAGGCCUCAGAGGGGAUUUCCUGAAACCUCGGUUUCAAUACUUCGAGCAUGGCUCUUUGAGCACUUCCUCCAUCCGUAAUUCCCCUGUUUCCAAUUUUCAUUUGGUUCCAGUUAUCCAAAGGAUUCAGAGAAAACUUGCUGGCUAGACAAAUUGGUUUAACAAGAAACCAGGGUGACAAAUUGGUUCAUUAAUGCAAGGGUGCAGCUUUGGAGCUGCAUCACUAAUCGUGGGCUUAAUUUCUUCUUACUAUUGGAUGACUUCUAUGUUACUAAUGCUGUCAAUCCUCUGAUCAAUCAAGCUUCAAUUUCACAUUAGAAUUCACUACAACUACACUUCAUCCCUGGUUCUAUCUUCCUUAUCUCAAUUUUAC